This 457-nucleotide ribosomal RNA is filed under the name uncultured bacterium. Its description in RNAcentral is "bacterial SSU rRNA". It matches the Rfam family "Bacterial small subunit ribosomal RNA", at positions 29 to 524 of the family's 1533-position model. The record is from RNAcentral.
AGUGAACGUUGGCGGCGUGGAUUAGGCAUGCAAGUCGAGCGAUCGUAGCAAUACGGGAGCGGCAAACGGGGUAGGAAUACAUCGGAACGUACCUUUUGGUUGAGAAUAGCGUUGGGAAACUGACGGUACUACUCAAUAAAGUCGAGAGACCAAAGGUUUACUGCCGGAAGAGCGGCCGAUGCGAUAUUAGGUAGUUGGUGGGGUAAUGGCCUACCAAGCCUGAGAUGUCUAGGGGGUGUGAGAGCAUGGCCCCCACCACUGGGACUGAGAUACUGCCCAGACACCUACGGGUGGCUGCAGUCGAGGAUCUUCGUCAAUGGGCGAAAGCCUGAACGAGCGACGCCGCGUGCGGGAUGAAGGCCCUUGGGUUGUAAACCGCUGUCAGGGGGAUGAACCGUAAGGUUGACAGAGCCCCAGAGGAAGCACGGGCUAAGUUCGUGCCAGCAGCCGCGGUAAU